Molecule: ribosomal RNA, 253 nt
Filed under: uncultured bacterium
Lineage: Bacteria
Description: partial 16S ribosomal RNA
Rfam family: Bacterial small subunit ribosomal RNA
Source: RNAcentral
GACGUAGGGGGCGAGCGUUGUCCGGAUUUAUUGGGCGUAAAGCGUGCGUAGGCGGCUGCGCAAGUCGGGUGUGAAACCCCGGGGCUCAACCCCGGAACUGCAUCCGAUACUGCGUGGCUAGAGGUAGGUAGGGGAGAUCGGAAUUCCUGGUGUAGCGGUGAAAUGCGCAGAUAUCAGGAGGAACACCGGCGGCGAAGGCGGAUCUCUGGGCCUUACCUGACGCUCAGGCACGAAAGCGUGGGGAGCAAACAGG